Anoplophora glabripennis (Asian longhorned beetle) is the source of this 114-nucleotide small nuclear RNA. RefSeq annotates it as U1 spliceosomal RNA. NCBI's taxonomy places the organism in Eukaryota, Metazoa, Arthropoda, Insecta, Coleoptera, Cerambycidae. The transcript has a single exon. The record is from RefSeq and is a predicted model, not a curated record.
AUACUUACCUGGCGUAGGGGUUACCGUGAUAAAAAGGGCGGUUCCUUCAGUGUGAGGCCCUUCCAUUGCACUACGGUUAGGCUGACCCUCCGUUUAAGGCAUGCCUACUUAGGU